Molecule: ribosomal RNA, 393 nt
Filed under: uncultured bacterium
Lineage: Bacteria
Description: partial 16S ribosomal RNA
Rfam family: Bacterial small subunit ribosomal RNA
Source: RNAcentral
AUACGGAGGAUCCGAGCGUUAUCCGGAUUUAUUGGGUUUAAAGGGAGCGUAGGCGGACGCUUAAGUCAGUUGUGAAAGUUUGCGGCUCAACCGUAAAAUUGUAGUUGAUACUGGGUGUCUUGAGUACAGUAGAGGCAGGCGGAAUUCGUGGUGUAGCGGUGAAAUGCUUAGAUAUAACGAAGAACGCCGAUCGCGAAGGCAGCUCACCGGGCCGGAACUGACACUGAUGCUCGAAAGUGCGGGUAUCAAACAGGAUUAGAUACCCUGGUAGUCCGCACAGUAAACGAUGAAUACUCGCUGUUUGCGAUACACGGUAAGCGGCCAAGCGAAAGCGUUAAGUAUUCCGCCUGGGGAGUACGCCGGCAACGGUGAAACUCAAAUGAAUUGACGGGG